GAGCUCACAUUUAUAAUCUGGCACCUUCGGUGUCCGAGUUGUAAUCUCUAGAAAUGUUUUCCGCGUUGGACCGCACACAAGUCUGUUGGAAUACAGCGGCAUAGUGGUGAGACCCCCGUAUAUGGUGCGGACGCCCAGCGCUUUGUGAUACAUUUUCGAAGAGUCGAGUUGUUUGGGAAUGCAGCUCAAAUUGGGUGGUAAAUUCCAUCUAAAGCUAAAUAUUGGCGAGAGACCGAUAGCGAACAAGUACCGUGAGGGAAAGAUGAAAAGCACUUUGGAAAGAGAGUUAACAGUACGUGAAAUUGUUGGAAGGGAAACGCUUGAAGUCAGACUUGCUUGCCGAGCAAUCGGUUUGCAGGCCAGCAUCAGUUUUCCGGGAUGGAUAAUGGUAGAGAGAAGGUAGCAGUUUCGGCUGUGUUAUAGCUCUCUGCUGGAUACAUCUUGGGGGACUGAGGAACGCAGUGUGCCUUUGGCGGGGGUUUCGACCUCUUCACACUUAGGAUGCUGGUGGAAUGGCUUUAAACGACCCGUCUUGAAACACGGAC
This 545-nucleotide ribosomal RNA is filed under the name Rhodotorula mucilaginosa. Its description in RNAcentral is "partial large subunit ribosomal RNA". It matches the Rfam family "Eukaryotic large subunit ribosomal RNA", at positions 104 to 666 of the family's 3401-position model. Lineage: Eukaryota; Fungi; Basidiomycota; Microbotryomycetes; Sporidiobolales; Sporidiobolaceae. The record is from RNAcentral.